Molecule: long non-coding RNA, 1018 nt
Organism: Coffea arabica (coffee)
Lineage: Eukaryota; Viridiplantae; Streptophyta; Magnoliopsida; Gentianales; Rubiaceae
Source: RefSeq, a predicted model, not a curated record
UGCUUGGUGGGAUACAUCUAUAGUUGUCCCGUCUCUGCAUUGAACGUCAGCCCUUUUUCUGUGAUUCUUCCUUCCUUCCUUUCUGUCUAUCUUUCCUGGGUGGCUUCUUCUUCAACUCAAUCUUCUCUCUCAGUUAAAGGAUUGGGCAAGUUCCUGUUUGAUGUGCUCCUUGACAUUUGUAGCUAACGCGGUAACCAGAGAGAGCGAGAUCCCGAAAGAGCUCAAGCCAGGGCUGCCCACAAGGCUAAGCAGCCCAAAAAUGAUGGCCUGACCCCCGAACAAAGACGAGAGAGGGAUGCGAAAGCACUUCAGGAAAAGUUAGCUAGGAAAACAGCUGGGAACCACGAUAACUCUGUUGGUAACAAAGCCGGUAUCAAGAAGAAAUAGCAGCAGAUUAGUGUUUAAAUGUAGGUGAUGAAUGUUGUAAUAGAUGAUGGAUCAGAUUUGGGUUCCGGGGGCUUUAUUCAAGUCGCAUGUUUCAUGUCAUUUUGAUGGUUGAAGAUUGUCCUCCAAUAGGAGUAGGAUCAAAUCUGACAGCCAUUUGAAGUAUUCCCGAACUAUCAAAAAAAGUAUUCAUAUUUACUUCAGAUGAUCCUCCUCUGAGUACUCGUCGGCAAUUCUGUAAUCCGUGCGUGCAAUCAUGUCUCUCCAUUAAGGUCACAUAUAGGACCAUGAUCAAAGCUUAUUCACUUGGUGGAAUGUCUAGCCAUGCCAAAGAAAUCCAGAAUGUUCUUGCAUCAUUAGAGAAGAUUUCAUAGAUAUGAAGAAGCCGGAACUUCUAGACUACUUGGGAAUGUGCUGUUUUGAGCAGCAUGAAUUUUUUUCUUUCUGAUUGAGCAUGGCAAUUGUAUAGAUUUGGUUUAUGUGAUCCAUGCUGCUCUCUGACUAUCGUGCUCGGCAGUCCUUGUGUAAAGUAUGUUUCUUGACUACCUAAUGUAAACUUGUUUAUUUAGCAAUUAUAGCUAGUUGGAGUGUAUAAACUAGUGGUCAAUUGAUAUCGUGCUAUUAGUUUGCUUCA